GAUGGACGCUAGCUACAGGCUUAACACAUGCAAGUCGCGGGGCAGCAUGGGGGUUGCUUGCAAUCCCCGAUGGCGACCGGCGCACGGGUGAGUAACGCGUAUCCAACCUGCCCUUCACCACGGGAUAACCCGGCGAAAGUCGGACUAAUACCGUAUGUUGUCCAUUGACGGCAUCCGAUUUGGACGAAAGGCUUGGCGGUGAGGGAUGGGGAUGCGUCCGAUUAGCCAGACGGCGGGGUAACGGCCCACCGUGGCUACGAUCGGUAGGGGUUCUGAGAGGAAGGUCCCCCACACUGGAACUGAGACACGGUCCAGACUCCUACGGGAGGCAGCAGUGAGGAAUAUUGGUCAAUGGGCGUAAGCCUGAACCAGCCAAGUAGCGUGCAGGAUGACGGCCCUAUGGGUUGUAAACUGCUUUUAUGCGGGGAUAAAGUGGCCCACGUGUGGGCUUUUGCAGGUACCGCAUGAAUAAGGACCGGCUAAUUCCGUG
RNAcentral lists this ribosomal RNA (490 nucleotides) under uncultured bacterium. Its description in RNAcentral is "partial 16S ribosomal RNA". It matches the Rfam family "Bacterial small subunit ribosomal RNA", at positions 28 to 507 of the family's 1533-position model. The record is from RNAcentral.